CCUACGGGGGGCAGCAGUGAGGAAUAUUGGUCAAUGGACGAGAGUCUGAACCAGCCAAGUAGCGUGAAGGAUGACUGCCCUAUGGGUUGUAAACUUCUUUUAUAUGGGAAUAAAAUGUUCCACGUGUGGGAUUUUGUAUGUACCAUAUGAAUAAGGAUCGGCUAACUCCGUGCCAGCAGCCGCGGUAAUACGGAGGAUCCGAGCGUUAUCCGGAUUUAUUGGGUUUAAAGGGAGCGUAGAUGGAUUGUUAAGUCAGUUGUGAAAGUUUGCGGCUCAACCGUAAAAUUGCAGUUGAAACUGGCAGUCUUGAGUACAGUAGAGGUGGGCGGAAUUCGUGGUGUAGCGGUGAAAUGCUUAGAUAUCACGAAGAACUCCGAUUGCGAAGGCAGUUCACUGGACUGCAACUGACACUGAGGCUCGAAAGUGUGGGUAUCAAACAGGAUUAGAUACCCGUGUAGUC
This 460-nucleotide ribosomal RNA is filed under the name uncultured bacterium. RNAcentral describes it as "partial 16S ribosomal RNA". It matches the Rfam family "Bacterial small subunit ribosomal RNA", at positions 338 to 795 of the family's 1533-position model. The record is from RNAcentral.